This is a non-coding RNA of Jatropha curcas, 1480 nucleotides long. Lineage: Eukaryota; Viridiplantae; Streptophyta; Magnoliopsida; Malpighiales; Euphorbiaceae. The record is from RefSeq and is a predicted model, not a curated record.
UCUAAGCGUAGAAUACUUUGAAUUGUGCAGACAGUAAGAAAAAAUAAAAAAGAAAAGGAAAAAGCUCUAAAAACAAUCGAAAGAAUUUUCAUGAGCACCCGGUUACCAAUUUUUGGAAACGUGCAAUGAGAGCAAUAGGAUCAAUUCUUCUGAGAUUCUCAAAUGGUGUCUGCUUCAAAUGCCCAAUCACUUCCUUUCCUCCUCUAAGGAAUGGUUGGCUUGAUAGGAGUCUCUUAUCAUCAUUAUCAUCAUAUUCCAGUUCUUCUUCUUCUUCUGGGUUUUCAUUGUUAUAUGAAGAAACCAAACAUAGUCACUGUCAAGCGACCGUGAGAAAGAUACGGACUUUCCCUCCUGUCUGUAUGGGUCGACGUUCUUGCAAAAUCGCUGGCAGAAAGGGGGCUCAAGAUCUAAAGAAGGCAAAGCUGUAUUCGAGGAUUGGAAAGGAAGUUGUAUCUGCUGUAAAGAAAGGAGGUCCAAAUCCAAUAUCAAAUACAGUUCUGGCUGCUGUACUUGAGACAGCCAAGGAACUUGAUGUACCUAAGGAAAUUUUGGAGCGCAACAUUAAGAGGGCUUCUGAAAAGGGACAAGAGGCUUAUAUUGAGAAAAUUUAUGAGGUAUAUGGUUAUGGCGGAGUUAGUAUGGUAGUGGAGGUCUCAACUGACAAAAUAAACAGAUCUGUGGCAGCUGUUAGGGAAGUAGUGAAGGACUAUGGAGGAAAGAUGGCAGAUCCAGGAUCUGUCAUGUUCAAGUUUAGACGUGCCCGAGUUGUGAAUAUAAAAGUUACAGAUGCUGACAAGGAUCAGCUUCUUGAUAUUGCCUUGGAUGCUGGCGCUGAAGAUGUCAUUGAACCUUCAAUAUAUGAAGAUGAUACUGAUGAAGAUAGGUCAGAAAGUGGCCCAGGGUGCAGGGGAAAGGCUGUUGUAGUUGUAUCCUUCAUAUCCAUAUGCAGCUAUCCCUGCUACUCUUCUCAGUUGGAACAUUAUCGGUUAUGGAAUAUCGUUGCUGUAUAUAUAUUUUCAAAUGUCUGUUCAUGGAAAUAGAAGAACUUUAGUAAGAAGAACCUAUAAUCUGAGGGAGCAUGUGGGAUUUUUAGUGCUACUACAAAGUUGUAAGUUCUUCUGAGAACUAUUUGGAGAUAUUAUCAAAACUUCGCGAGGCAGAAAUACAUUUUGAGACUGACAAUGGUUCAGAAUUAAUUCCUAUAUCAACUGUAGAGGUAGAUGAUGAGGCCAUGGACUUGAACAAAGAACUCGUGUCCAAAUUACUGGAACUUGAUGAUGUUGAUGCUGUUUACACGGACCAAAAGUGAUCAAACCCUUUGCCUACUGAAUUUGGAUUGUGUAGAAGUAGAAUCCUUGGGCAUUCUAUCGUUUAUACCUGCAACACGAUCUCUAUGUUGACUGUAUAACCCCAUCGAAAGAGAGUUUCAUUUUUUCUUUUUCAAAAAAAAAAUUUUAGGUGGGAUGAGAUUAUUCUUUUC